AACCUACCUUCGAGUGGGGGAUAACUAGCCGAAAGGUUAGCUAAUACCGCAUAAAACGUGCCGGGGCAUCCCGGAACGUUAAAACGAGCAAUCGGCUUGAAGACGGGACCGCGUCCCAUUAGUUAGUUGGUGGGGUAACGGCCUACCAAGACUCCGAUGGGUAGCUGGUUUGAGAGAGCGACCAGCCACACUGGGACUGAGAAACGGCCCAGACUCCUACGGGAGGCAGCAGUGAGGAAUUUUCCGCAAUGGGCGAAAGCCUGACGGAGCGACGCCGCGUGUGG
Molecule: ribosomal RNA, 284 nt
Filed under: uncultured bacterium
Lineage: Bacteria
Description: partial 16S ribosomal RNA
Rfam family: Bacterial small subunit ribosomal RNA
Source: RNAcentral